GCCGGGGUGGUGAAAUCGGUAUACACAGGGGACUUAAAAUCCCCCGGGAAAAUUCCCUUGCGGGUUCGAGUCCCGCCCCCGGCA
RNAcentral lists this transfer RNA (84 nucleotides) under Gemmatimonadota bacterium. Its description in RNAcentral is "Gemmatimonadetes bacterium tRNA-Leu". It matches the Rfam family "tRNA". Rfam says of the family: Transfer RNA (tRNA) molecules are approximately 80 nucleotides in length. Their secondary structure includes four short double-helical elements and three loops (D, anti-codon, and T loops). Further hydrogen bonds mediate the characteristic L-shaped molecular structure. tRNAs have two regions of fundamental functional importance: the anti-codon, which is responsible for specific mRNA codon recognition, and the 3' end, to which the tRNAs corresponding amino acid is attached (by aminoacyl-tRNA synthetases). tRNAs cope with the degeneracy of the genetic code in two manners: having more than one tRNA (with a specific anti-codon) for a particular amino acid; and 'wobble' base-pairing, i.e. permitting non-standard base-pairing at the 3rd anti-codon position. The record is from RNAcentral. Lineage: Bacteria; Pseudomonadati; Gemmatimonadota.